AUUGAACGCUGGCGGAAUGCUUUACACAUGCAAGUCGAACGGCAGCACGGACUUCGGUCUGGUGGCGAGUGGCGAACGGGUGAGUAAUACAUCGGAACGUGCCCAGUCGUGGGGGAUAACGUAGCGAAAGCUACGCUAAUACCGCAUACGAUCUAAGGAUGAAAGCGGGGGACCGUAAGGCCUCGCGCGAUUGGAGCGGCCGAUGGCAGAUUAGGUAGUUGGUGGGAUAAAGGCUCACCAAGCCGACGAUCUGUAGCUGGUCUGAGAGGACGACCAGCCACACUGGGACUGAGACACGGCCCAGACUCCUACGGGAGGCAGCAGUGGGGAAUUUUGGACAAUGGGCGCAAGCCUGAUCCAGCCAUUCCGCGUGCAGGAUGAAGGCCCUCGGGUUGUAAACUGCUUUUGUACGGAACGAAAAGGCUCUGGUUAAUACCUGGGGCUCAUGACGGUACCGUAAGAAUAAGCACCGGCUAACUACGUGCCAGCAGCCGCGGUAA
Molecule: ribosomal RNA, 500 nt
Filed under: uncultured bacterium
Lineage: Bacteria
Description: partial 16S ribosomal RNA
Rfam family: Bacterial small subunit ribosomal RNA
Source: RNAcentral